CUACGGGUCGCAGCAGGCGCGAAACCUUUACAAUGCACGAAAGUGUGAUAAGGGGAUCCGAAGUGCUUAUACAUUGUAUAGGCUUUUGCCAAAGGUAAAGUCUUUGGCGAAUAAGUGGUGGGCAAGACUGGUGCCAGCCGCCGCGGUAACACCAGCGCCACGAGUGGCAACCAUGUUUAUUGGGCCUAAAGCGUUCGUAGCCGGUUUUGUAAAUCUUCUGUGAAAUUGUGCAGCUCAACUGUACAGCGUGCAGGAAACACUGCAAAACUAGAGACCGGGAGGAGCUGAGGGUAUUCUUGGGGGAGCGGUAAAAUGUUGUGAUCCCUUGAAGACCACCUGUGGCGAAGGCGCUCAGCUAGAACGGAUCUGACGGUGAGGGACGAAAGCCAGGGGAGCGAUCCGGAUUAGAUACCCCCGUAGUC
Molecule: ribosomal RNA, 422 nt
Filed under: uncultured archaeon
Lineage: Archaea
Description: partial 16S ribosomal RNA
Rfam family: Archaeal small subunit ribosomal RNA
Source: RNAcentral